AAGGUAUUAGUAAAAUUAUCACAUAACUUUGUCAAAGUUAACUUAUAGGUUANACCCCUAUAUAUCUUC
Molecule: transfer RNA, 69 nt
Filed under: Pachylemur jullyi
Lineage: Eukaryota; Metazoa; Chordata; Mammalia; Primates; Lemuridae
Description: tRNA-Asp
Source: RNAcentral